GGCCGGGUGGUCUAGUGGUAAGGUAAGGACGUUAGCCGCGUAAGCUGAAGACGCGGGUUCGAUUCCCACCUUGGCCA
Non-coding RNA from Cydia fagiglandana, 77 nucleotides. The record is from the annotation of a RefSeq genome assembly. Lineage: Eukaryota; Metazoa; Arthropoda; Insecta; Lepidoptera; Tortricidae.